This 825-nucleotide long non-coding RNA is filed under the name Theobroma cacao (cacao). RNAcentral describes it as "long non-coding RNA (TCAC_LNC001001)". Lineage: Eukaryota; Viridiplantae; Streptophyta; Magnoliopsida; Malvales; Malvaceae. The record is from RNAcentral.
UUCUCUCCCCUCUCUCUACCGCCGAAGCUCUCACCUCCACUGUUUCCAAACCUUCUCCCAAAACCUUAGCCACCGCCGACCUUGAAAAAAAAAACCGCUUUCCUCACUAGCCGAAACUUAAUGAUGCUUCUCUCCCCAAAAGCUUUAAAACUCAAGGCGCUGCUUCCCAUUUGUUUUUUAAGUUUUUGGUUUUUUUUUUUUUUGUGAUUGUGGUAUUGUGCCGGUUGAUAGAUCUAGGUUUUUAAAUUUUUUCUCCUGUUUUCGUUGAGAUCCGGCCUCCCCUUUUGUAUUGAAAAAUUUCUCUUUUUAUUUGUGCAAGGGAUUUGUAAAUCCCUCUGCCAACCGUUGGCUGAUUUCCAGGUCCAGAAUGUUCUUUAGAUGAUUUGGUUUUAAUUCUUGAUUAUUAAAUUUGAACCUGAUUAAUUUGUUUGAUCUAUUCUGGAUCACUCCUUUGUCGGAGUGGAGCACUCCUUUUUGUUCUUUUCUAAUAAGUUGGUUCGUGUUCUGAGCGAGACUCCGCGUGACGUAAACGGUACCUAUGAAGUGUGAUCUGUCUGUAAGGGGGUUGCGUUCCGAGGGACUAAAAAUCUCCACUGGUAUUGUCACGCUUGGACAUACUCAACACUGAUCCAAUUAACACUUAAUGAAAUAAGAAUAAAUAAGUAAACAAAAGAUGAAAGAUAAAAUAAUAAUAAAAAUAAAAUAAAAUAAAUAAGAAAAUGAAAACUCAUAUAAACCUAAAUAUUAAGAUACCAAUAAUAUUAAAAUUUAAUAAUAUCUUAAAUUACUAAAAUAUGAACACAAUUACAUGGACAAAUAAAUUAA